UCUUUCUGUCCACAAUCAGUACAAUUAGUGCUUGAACUCAGGCCACGGUUUGAGCCACUACUCCUAAGAGCCACUCAGGGUCAGUGUACCGGGUUGGAUAGUGUCCCCUCCAAAUUCACACCUUCCUCAAACCAUAGAAUGUGACCUUUUUUUGGAAGCAGGAUCCUUGCAGAUGUAUAUGUUAAGAUAAGGUGAUACUGGAGUAGGGUGGGCCCGAAAAACAGACUGACCUGUGUCCUUGUAAGAAAAGACACACACCUAGCGAUACACAGAGGGGAGACGGCCAUGUGAAGACAGGCAGAGGCUGGAGUGAGGCAGCUACAAACCAAGGAAUGCCAAGGCUUGCUGGCAACCUCAGGAAACUAGGAGAGAGGGACGGGGCGGAUUCUCCCGCAAGGCUUCAGAGGGCUGCUGACACCUGAACUAACAGUCAGUGACCUCAAAUGGGCCCCAAGAGCGUCUCUGAGGCCUGAGGCGGAACCAAAGUUCACCUCAGUUAACCACAUUCAAAGUGACUGCUCCUCUCGGGGAUUGAAUUACCCCCCUGACGCACAUAUAUUGAUGUGGAAGGAUUAGGUCUUUCUGUUCUUUAUGUCCAGGCUGCCAAGAAUCAUCAGCAAACUAGCCAAGGCCUGCCGCCAGCUUCCGUGCCUCUGAAGUCCACUUUCCCUAUGUCAACGAGGAGUUGGCAAGUGGCAGGCAGUCUCUGAUCUGGUUCCCACAAACUGAUUCACACUGAGGUGAGGAAGUCUCAGCUCACAAAUUUUCCCAUUUUGCCUGAGGAGUUGCUCUUCUAAAAGGUGACUUGUAGGCUCCAGUUUCUCCCAGAGGCCCCUUCCCCACUUCGGUAAUUUAAGCCUUUUAAAAAGAAUGGG
Long non-coding RNA from Myotis davidii, 875 nucleotides. RefSeq lists it as uncharacterized. Lineage: Eukaryota; Metazoa; Chordata; Mammalia; Chiroptera; Vespertilionidae. The transcript is spliced from 3 exons. The record is from RefSeq and is a predicted model, not a curated record.